UAAACCAAGCAAACAUUGGCUUCCCUUUGUUUCUUGGACUUGAUUUUCAUGGCUGGCCCAUCAGCAAGAGAUAAUGGUCCUUACCUUUGAGUAUUUGAUCUCCUUUUGGGCUGACAAAGGUCAAUCCGUCCAUGAGUCUGAUCCACAACUUUUCCAUUGAUUUGUUCUUCAUAGCCAAUAUAAGCUCAGUAUUCUCCAUUCCAGCCUCUGGUUCAUCUUCAAACUUUCCAUGCAUCCAUCCAGGCUUAUCCUUAGUCGCAUAGUCAACUGGCUCAACCAUUGUUGCAUCAUCCCCUCCUCCUUUGAAACAAUUUGUCCUCAAAUCCAAGUGAUGUAGAAUGAUAGAACCAUGAUCAUAUGACUUGAAAGUACAUGUUCUGGAAAUCAGAGAUAUCAUCACACAAUGAUUCUCUCCAGGGUCAAACACAAAGCAUUGGAAUCCUUCUUCUUGUCUCUCUCCAGGGUCAAACACAA
RNAcentral lists this long non-coding RNA (474 nucleotides) under Brassica napus (rape). Its description in RNAcentral is "long non-coding RNA (BNAP_LNC017586)". Lineage: Eukaryota; Viridiplantae; Streptophyta; Magnoliopsida; Brassicales; Brassicaceae. The record is from RNAcentral.